CCCUCAAUGGCUGAAUGGCAAAGGUGGCUAUUUUAGAGAUAGUUCUUUACCGGUUCAAAUCCGAAAUCAUGAC
RNAcentral lists this transfer RNA (73 nucleotides) under Clathrina clathrus. RNAcentral's name for it is "tRNA-Leu". Lineage: Eukaryota; Metazoa; Porifera; Calcarea; Clathrinida; Clathrinidae. The record is from RNAcentral.